This 253-nucleotide ribosomal RNA is filed under the name uncultured prokaryote. RNAcentral describes it as "partial 16S ribosomal RNA". It matches the Rfam family "Bacterial small subunit ribosomal RNA", at positions 524 to 776 of the family's 1533-position model. The record is from RNAcentral.
GACGUAGGGGGCGAGCGUUAUUCGGAAUUAUUGGGCGUAAAGCGCUCGUAGGCGGGACAGGAAGUCCGUGAAGAAAGACCUGGGCUCAACUCAGGGAACGGCACGGAUACUCUUGUUCUUGAGGCAAUCAGAGGGUGAUGGAAUUCCCGGUGUAGCAGUGAAAUGCGUAGAGAUCGGGAGGAACACCAGUGGCGAAGGCGGCUACCUGGACCAGCACUGACACUGAAGCACGAAAGCGUGGGGAACAAACAGG